RNAcentral lists this long non-coding RNA (647 nucleotides) under Salvia miltiorrhiza (redroot sage). RNAcentral's name for it is "long non-coding RNA (SMIL_LNC007539)". Lineage: Eukaryota; Viridiplantae; Streptophyta; Magnoliopsida; Lamiales; Lamiaceae. The record is from RNAcentral.
GACAUUUUCAGUAUUUACAGCUUAACUUUUGACGUUCUUCUUCUUGAACUUACAAAGACAAAUUGAAGAUUAGGCAGCGGAAACACCUGAAUAAGGAUAACAAGAUCGAAGCAGGCAGCAGGGAGCGAGAAAUCAACGGGAAGAAAUGGCGUCCUGCUUUUCAGUGAAAAUCCCUACAGAUCUAAAAUUGCCUUACAUUUAUAUCUCGAAUUAUGAGAUUUAAAUGCGGAAAAGAGUAAAUUGUGAAACGGACCUGAUUUCUAUGACGGAGGAAGCAACCGGAGCCGGCGUAGGUGCAACCGGUGGGAGCGGGGAGAGCACAGGCGGAAGCGGAGAAGCUGGACGAGGUUCGGCCGGCGGAGGGGUUGCGGGUUGCAGUCGGCGGCGGAGAAGCUGGAGCAGGUUCGGCCGGCGGAGGGGUUGGCAGGCGGCGGCGGAGAAGCUGCAGGAGGAACGGCCGGCCGAGGGGAUGCAGGCGGCGUGCUCACCGGCAGACGAGCGGUGACGGGCGGCGUUGCUGUAGGAGGCGAUUUGGGGAUUUUGGAGGAAUUUGCGAAUUAGGGCUGAGAUGAGAACUAAAGCAAAAGAGGCUACGCGACUGGUUAUCUAUCUAUACAUAUAUUAAAGCAUAGAAUCUUGGGGGAAUG